GUUUUAAUAGUUUAAAUAAAACAAUGAUUUUGUAAAUCAUAAAUAGAGAAUAUCUUUAAAACU
RNAcentral lists this transfer RNA (63 nucleotides) under Dalcantha dilatata. RNAcentral's name for it is "tRNA-Thr". The record is from RNAcentral. Lineage: Eukaryota; Metazoa; Arthropoda; Insecta; Hemiptera; Tessaratomidae.